Long non-coding RNA from Ixodes scapularis (black-legged tick), 193 nucleotides. RefSeq lists it as uncharacterized. The record is from RefSeq and is a predicted model, not a curated record. The transcript is spliced from 3 exons. NCBI's taxonomy places the organism in Eukaryota, Metazoa, Arthropoda, Arachnida, Ixodida, Ixodidae.
GCCGGCCGCCGGUACUCAACGCGGAUUUACUCCAACCUGGUGGCACAGAAACUCUGCAACCAUGUGCGAUUCUUUCACGCUUCUCCCGCAUCUUUGGCCGCAGCACACAAGGUUGCCAUCAGCAAGUUCGAGCCCGACAACUACCUUCCCUAUGACAAGCUUCAGCAAAACCUGCAGGUUGUCAGAAAGAGGU